UACGGAGGGUGCGAGCGUUAAUCGGAAUCACUGGGCGUAAAGCGCGCGUAGGCGGCUUUUCAAGUCAGGGGUGAAAUCCCACGGCCCAACCGUGGAACUGCCUUUGAAACUGUAGAGCUUGAGUGUCGGAGAGGGUGGCGGAAUUCCAGGUGUAGGAGUGAAAUCCGUAGAUAUCUGGAGGAAUACCGGUGGCGAAGGCGGCCACCUGGACGACAACUGACGCUGAGGUGCGAAAGCGUGGGUAGCAAGCAGG
Molecule: ribosomal RNA, 253 nt
Filed under: uncultured bacterium
Lineage: Bacteria
Description: partial 16S ribosomal RNA
Rfam family: Bacterial small subunit ribosomal RNA
Source: RNAcentral